CUGUGAAGGAAAGAUGAAAAGCACUUUGAAAAGAGAGUGAAAAAGUACGUGAAAUUGUUAAAAGGGAAGGGUAUUGAAUCAGACUUGGUGCUGUUGUUCAACUGUGUUUUGGCACAGUGUACUCAGCAGUACUAGGCCAAGGUGGGGUGUUUGGGAGUGAAAAAGAAGUUGGAACGUAACUCUUCGGAGUGUUAUAGCCUACUUUCAUAGCUCCUCAGGCGCCUCAGGACUGCGCUUCGGCAAGGACCUUGGCAUAAUGAUUCUAUACCGCCC
RNAcentral lists this ribosomal RNA (273 nucleotides) under Geotrichum candidum. RNAcentral's name for it is "partial 28S ribosomal RNA". It matches the Rfam family "Eukaryotic large subunit ribosomal RNA", at positions 351 to 650 of the family's 3401-position model. Lineage: Eukaryota; Fungi; Ascomycota; Dipodascomycetes; Dipodascales; Dipodascaceae. The record is from RNAcentral.